GAUCGAGGAGGGACAGGGACUUACUGCACAAGAGGACUUCGGAAAUGGAGUCACAGGAGACAGAGGCAAAACCUUUCCAGAUGUUCCUUGAACUCUGCUGUCACUCAAGAAAAUAAGGAGCUGGGUGCGGUGCCUCACGCCUGUCAUCCCAGCACUUUGGGAGGCUGAGGCGGGCGGAUCACCUGAGAUAAGGAGUUUGAGACCAGCAUGACCCACAUGGUGAACUCCUGUCUCUACUAAAAAUACAAAAUUAGCCAGGCAUGGUGACGCACACCUGUAAUCCCAGCUACUCGGGAGGCUGAGGCAGGAGAAUCGCUUGAACCCAGGAGGCGGAGGUUGCUGUGAGCUGAGAUCGUGCCACUGCACUUCAGCCUGGGCAACAAGAGCGAAACUCCGUCUCAAAAAAAAGAAAAGGGGAUUAAAACUUGUAACACCUACAGAUGUACAGAAAGAUGAAUGUGGAAUACAGUGUCCCAACAAACAAUCUCAGAUUCCAGUUCCAAGUCACAUCAUCACCAGCUGGAAGACCUAGGGCAAAAGUCACCCAUUCUUUGCAACAGAGUAUACAUAUGGCUUAACGGAAUGUACUGGACGAUAUCCCAUGUAGAAUAAUUUUUGUUUUGUUGUUUAAUACACAUAUUUAAGGUUUUGUUAAAAGAAUAGAUUUUAAGUGCUCUAGUCACAAAAAAAUAAAAUGCUUCAAUGAUGUCA
This 711-nucleotide long non-coding RNA is filed under the name Homo sapiens (human). RNAcentral's name for it is "HSALNT0398793". The record is from RNAcentral. Lineage: Eukaryota; Metazoa; Chordata; Mammalia; Primates; Hominidae.